RNAcentral lists this ribosomal RNA (434 nucleotides) under uncultured bacterium. Its description in RNAcentral is "partial 16S ribosomal RNA". It matches the Rfam family "Bacterial small subunit ribosomal RNA", at positions 29 to 507 of the family's 1533-position model. The record is from RNAcentral.
AGCGAACGCUGGCGGCAGGCCUAACACAUGCAAGUCGAACGAACCUUUCGGGGUUAGUGGCGGACGGGUGAGUAACACGUGGGAACGUGCCUUUAGGUUCGGAAUAACUCAGGGAAACUUGUGCUAAUACCGAAUGUGCCCUUCGGGGGAAAGAUUUAUCGCCUUUAGAGCGGCCCGCGUCUGAUUAGCUAGUUGGUUGAGGUAAUGGCUCACCAAGGCGACGAUCAGUAGCUGGUCUGAGAGGAUGAUCAGCCACAUUGGGACUGAGACACGGCCCAAACGCCUGCGGGAGGCAGCAGUGGGGAAUCUUGCGCAAUGGGCGAAAGCCUGACGCAGCCAUGCCGCGUGAAUGAUGAAGGUCUUAGGAUUGUAAAAUUCUUUCACCGGGGACGAUAAUGACGGUACCCGGAGAAGAAGCCCCGGCUAACUUCGUG